RNAcentral lists this ribosomal RNA (600 nucleotides) under Fibricium rude. Its description in RNAcentral is "eukaryotic LSU rRNA". It matches the Rfam family "Eukaryotic large subunit ribosomal RNA", at positions 66 to 648 of the family's 3401-position model. Lineage: Eukaryota; Fungi; Basidiomycota; Agaricomycetes; Hymenochaetales; Hymenochaetaceae. The record is from RNAcentral.
UAACAAGGAUUCCCCUAGUAACUGCGAGUGAAGCGGGAAAAGCUCAAAUUUAAAAUCUGACGGUUUUGCCGUCCGAGUUGUAAUCUGGAGAAGCGUUUUCCGCGUCGGACCGUGUACAAGUCUCUUGGAACAGAGCGUCAUAGAGGGUGAGAAUCCCGUCCAUGGCACGGACCGCCGAUGCUUUGUGAUACGCUCUCGAAGAGUCGAGUUGUUUGGGAAUGCAGCUCAAAAUGGGUGGUAAAUUCCAUCUAAAGCUAAAUAUUGGCGAGAGACCGAUAGCGAACAAGUACCGUGAGGGAAAGAUGAAAAGCACUUUGGAAAGAGAGUUAAACAGUACGUGAAAUUGUUGAAAGGGAAACGCUUGGAGUCAGUCGCGUCUUCCGGGACUCAGCCUUGCUUCUGCUUGGUGUAUUUCCCGUUGGACGGGUCAACAUCGAUUUUGGUCGGUGGAUAAUGGUUGCAGGAAUGUGGCACCUUCGGGUGUGUUAUAGCCUGCUUCCGCAUACAUCGACUGGGAUCGAGGACCGCAGCGCGCCUUUAUGGCCGGGGGUUCGCCCCACGUAACGCGCUUAGGAUGUUGGCAUAAUGGCUUUAAGCGAC